RNAcentral lists this small nucleolar RNA (114 nucleotides) under Microcebus murinus (gray mouse lemur). The record is from RNAcentral. Lineage: Eukaryota; Metazoa; Chordata; Mammalia; Primates; Cheirogaleidae.
GUAUAAGAAAAACCGUAGCCACACACCAUUGGAAAUGCUUCAUAGAGUAACUGUGGCUUGGCUUUACUCACAGGACUUUUUGUUAGAUCUGUGUGAAGGAACUACAAGACAGUC